UGCCAGCCGCCGCGGUAACACGGGGGGCGCAAGCGUUAUUCGGAAUUAUUGGGCGUAAAGGGCGCGCAGGCGGUCUUGUCCGUCAGGUGUGAAAGCUCGGGGCUCAACCCCGGAAGUGCAUUUGAAACUACUGAUCUAGAAUCUCGGAGAGGGAAGGGGAAUUUCAUGUGUAGGGGUAAAAUCCGUAGAGAUAUGAAGGAACACCAGAGGCGAAGGCGCCUUCCUGGACGAGUAUUGACGCUGAGGCGCGAAAGCGUGGGGAGCAAACAGGAUUAGAUA
Molecule: ribosomal RNA, 279 nt
Filed under: uncultured bacterium
Lineage: Bacteria
Description: partial 16S ribosomal RNA
Rfam family: Bacterial small subunit ribosomal RNA
Source: RNAcentral